CCUGACUCAUUACCCAUGUCCUCAUUAGAUUGAACCAUUGAUAUUUGGACCGGACCGGACGGUCCAACCGUCCCCCGGCAUGGUGGGCGGCCCCGUCUCACCCCCAAACCCGGACGCUCUUUCAGGCCGCUUCUGACCGCUGAAAAUCCGGUCGAACCGGGUUAAGCCUAGGUGGCUCAACCGGCCGGCCCAACCAGUGGAAAAAAUGUUCAGAGAAAUAAAGUAGGUGGCUUAAGCUUGGAGAAACCAAACAGGGGGAAAGAAAAGAAAGGGUUUAGAAAACAGUCACAGCAGCACCGUUCAUUCUAGAAGAAGACAGCUGCAGCAGCACCACUCAUCCCAACCGCCGUUCCUCACCUACUCCAGGUUAGAAUCAUCAAACUAGAUCCAAUGAAAGAAGAGAAUGAACAUAGAUGAGUAUUGAAGAAGGAUACAUAGGGUGUGAAGAAAAUGAGGGAAAGUUUGACACUUUGAUGAAGAGGAAUAUGGUAUGUAAAGGGUGAGGGGG
This 508-nucleotide long non-coding RNA is filed under the name Lupinus angustifolius (narrow-leaved blue lupine). RNAcentral's name for it is "long non-coding RNA (LANG_LNC003076)". Lineage: Eukaryota; Viridiplantae; Streptophyta; Magnoliopsida; Fabales; Fabaceae. The record is from RNAcentral.